UGCCAGACUCCUACGGGAGGCAGCAGUGAGGAAUAUUGGUCAAUGGGCGGGAGCCUGAACCAGCCAAGCCGCGUGAGGGAAGACGGCCCUACGGGUUGUAAACCUCUUUUGUCGGGGAGCAAAGCGAGUCACAUGUGACUCAUUGAGAGUACCCGAAGAAAAAGCAUCGGCUAACUCCGUGCCAGCAGCCGCGGUAAUACGGAGGAUGCGAGCGUUAUCCGGAUUUAUUGGGUUUAAAGGGUGCGUAGGCGGAAGGUUAAGUCAGCGGUCAAAUGUCGGUGCUCAACACCGGCCUGCCGUUGAAACUGGUCUUCUUGAGUGAGCGAGAAGUAUGCGGAAUGCGUGGUGUAGCGGUGAAAUGCAUAGAUAUCACGCAGAACUCCGAUUGCGAAGGCAGCAUACCGGCGCUCAACUGACGCUGAGGCACGAAAGCGUGGGGAUCGAACAGGAUUAGAUACCCUGGUAA
RNAcentral lists this ribosomal RNA (466 nucleotides) under uncultured bacterium. RNAcentral describes it as "bacterial SSU rRNA". It matches the Rfam family "Bacterial small subunit ribosomal RNA", at positions 329 to 793 of the family's 1533-position model. The record is from RNAcentral.